Molecule: ribosomal RNA, 497 nt
Filed under: uncultured bacterium
Lineage: Bacteria
Description: partial 16S ribosomal RNA
Rfam family: Bacterial small subunit ribosomal RNA
Source: RNAcentral
GAUGAACGCUUGCGGCGUGCCUAAUACAUGCAAGUCGAGCGAACAGAUGAGGAGCUUGCUCCUCUGACGUUAGCGGCGGACGGGUGAGUAACACGUGGAUAACCUACCUAUAAGACUGGGAUAACUUCGGGAAACCGGAGCUAAUACCGGAUAAUAUAUUGAACCGCAUGGUUCAAUAGUGAAAGACGGUUUUGCUGUCACUUAUAGAUGGAUCCGCGCCGCAUUAGCUAGUUGGUAAGGUAACGGCUUACCAAGGCAACGAUGCGUAGCCGACCUGAGAGGGUGAUCGGCCACACUGGAACUGAGACACGGUCCAGACUCCUACGGGAGGCAGCAGUAGGGAAUCUUCCGCAAUGGGCGAAAGCCUGACGGAGCAACGCCGCGUGAGUGAUGAAGGUCUUCGGAUCGUAAAACUCUGUUAUUAGGGAAGAACAAAUGUGUAAGUAACUAUGCACGUCUUGACGGUACCUAAUCAGAAAGCCACGGCCAACUACGUG